AGGGAGGAAAGACACGGCCCUUCUCGUCUUAUAAGAAGUCUCUUGGGACACUUCUGGUGCCCAAGUGUGCACUUCUUCAAAUUGUGUCACAAACACAAAGAGAGAGAGAGAGAGACUUCUUUCUUUUCUUCUC
Caenorhabditis elegans is the source of this 133-nucleotide non-coding RNA. The record is from Ensembl. Lineage: Eukaryota; Metazoa; Nematoda; Chromadorea; Rhabditida; Rhabditidae.